This 212-nucleotide long non-coding RNA is filed under the name Ixodes scapularis (black-legged tick). Its description in RNAcentral is "uncharacterized LOC121047546". Lineage: Eukaryota; Metazoa; Arthropoda; Arachnida; Ixodida; Ixodidae. The record is from RNAcentral.
GCUCGUGAGGUGCAAGCGAAACCAACGCACCUUCAAUCGCUUCGAAAGGUACUUCAGUUAGAUAAGCCCCAGCAAAGACAGCAAGACAGUCUCAUGGGGCCACACCAAGGAUAACAGUGUUCCUGCUCGAGUCCGGGGUCAUGUCACCGAACUUCACUGAACAUAAUGGAUAUGUGCAGGUAUUCUUCGCAGCAAAUGGCUGCCAAUCAGGA